GACGAACGCUGGCGGCGUGCUUAACACAUGCAAGUCGAACGGAAAGGCUCCAGCUUGCUGGAGUACUCGAGUGGCGAACGGGUGAGUAACACGUGGGUGAUCUGCCCUGCACUUCGGGAUAAGCCUGGGAAACUGGGUCUAAUACCGGAUAGGACCGCACUUUGGUGUGUGUGGUGGAAAGGUUUUUCUGGUGUGGGAUGAGCUCGCGGCCUAUCAGUUUGUUGGUGGGGUAAUGGCCUACCAAGACGGCGACGGGUAGCCGGCCUGAGAGGGUGGACGGUCACCUUGGGACUGAGAUACGGCCCAGACUCCUACGGGGGGCAGCCGUGGGGAAUAUUGCACAAUGGGGGAAACCCUGAUGCAGCGACGCCGCGUGGGGGAUGAAGGCCUUCGGGUUGUAAACUCCUUUCGCUAGGGACGAAGCUUUUUGUGACGGUACCUGGAGAAGAAGCACCGGCUAACUACGUG
RNAcentral lists this ribosomal RNA (468 nucleotides) under uncultured bacterium. Its description in RNAcentral is "partial 16S ribosomal RNA". It matches the Rfam family "Bacterial small subunit ribosomal RNA", at positions 28 to 507 of the family's 1533-position model. The record is from RNAcentral.